This 254-nucleotide ribosomal RNA is filed under the name uncultured bacterium. RNAcentral's name for it is "partial 16S ribosomal RNA". It matches the Rfam family "Bacterial small subunit ribosomal RNA", at positions 524 to 776 of the family's 1533-position model. The record is from RNAcentral.
UACGGGGGGAGCAAGCGUUGUUCGGAUUUACUGGGCGUAAAGGGCGCGUAGGCGGCCUGUGCAAGUCAGUUGUGAAAUCUCCGAGCUUAACUCGGAAAGGUCAACUGAUACUGCUCGGCUAGAGUGCGGAAGGGGCAACUGGAAUUCUUGGUGUAGCGGUGAAAUGCGUAGAUAUCAAGAGGAACACCUGCGGCGAAAGCGGGUCUCUGGACAGUUCCUGACGCUGAGGCACGAAGGCCAGGGGAGCAAACGGG